Molecule: ribosomal RNA, 250 nt
Filed under: uncultured bacterium
Lineage: Bacteria
Description: partial 16S ribosomal RNA
Rfam family: Bacterial small subunit ribosomal RNA
Source: RNAcentral
UACGGAGGGUGCAAGCGUUAUCCGGAUUCACUGGGUUUAAAGGGAGCGUAGGUGGCUUUGUAAGUCAGUGGUGAAAGCUCGGAGCUUAACUCCGGAACUGCCAUUGAUACUGCUUAGCUUGAAUCGGUUCGAGGCGGAUGGAAUGUGACAUGUAGCGGUGAAAUGCUUAGAUAUGUUACAGAACACCAAUUGCGAAGGCAGUUCGCCAGACCCGUAUUGACACUGAGGCUCGAAAGCGUGGGGAUCAAAC